This is a non-coding RNA of Bacillus sp. FJAT-27231, 125 nucleotides long. Lineage: Bacteria; Bacillati; Bacillota; Bacilli; Caryophanales; Bacillaceae. The record is from Rfam.
UGACAGCGAUGAUGCAGAAGGUUGCUGACACACCCGGCCGCUUUGCCAUGGCGAGUGUCGCCAGGAUAUUUCUGCGGAGAAUGUCUAUUAGCAAAUAGGCGGAAAAGGAGGGAAAAUAAUGGCAA